AUCUGAUUUUUCUUUGAUGUAGUUGAACACCCAAUAUAUGACAUAGUUUAUCAGUUGACUUAAUUAAUUAAUUAAUUAAUUAAUUUUUGGAUAGAAGCAAGUUCUUCCUUGACAUUGAAGAUAGGUAUAUUACUUCCUCAAAAGAACUCUUUAAACCCCCGAGGCUCAGCACAACCUGGUAAUAAAAGCUGUGAAGUGAAGUGAAAGUAAGUUAAGGUGCUUUGGAUGACUAGCGUGUUUCCAGAGUGAAUUAUGCUCACAAACCAAGCAGCCCUUAGAGGAUGCAAGCUGUGUUUCUCAUCACCAAGGAACAGGGACCACCCAUCACUGCCUCUGAGAGGCACAAGGUACCCAGACUUCCAGCUCCUGGAUACCAGGACCUGGACUUACUCCUUUCAAUCUGAGCCAAUGAAUUCCCUGCACACAGGAGUUCAAGAAUUCUGUUUCAGGUUGAAGGAUUGCCCUAUGUGGUUUCUGCAUGGACUCAGUGGGCCCAAUUAGAAUCACAACUUGUUAAUAAAGAUAAACUCAGCAUCAAGAUCCCUGCUGUGGGAAAGACCAAGGAGCUGUCUGAGGUCAGGAUGCAGGUAGACAGUGGAAAUGCUGCAGACCAAGGUCCCAAAGGAAGCAGAAACAGAUCAGAAGAGCAGCACACCAUCUGGGCCACAUGAAACUUCACAUCAGGAAGCCAUGGCUACCUGCCCACUUCAUUUUGCCACAGGUUCCUCUAUUUUUAUGACUCCAUCAUAAAAAAAAAUAGAAUAAUUCCCAAAAAUAAAACAAUGUGCAUAA
RNAcentral lists this long non-coding RNA (792 nucleotides) under Chinchilla lanigera (long-tailed chinchilla). RNAcentral describes it as "lncRNA (ENSCLAG00000023837.1)". Lineage: Eukaryota; Metazoa; Chordata; Mammalia; Rodentia; Chinchillidae. The record is from RNAcentral.